This is a long non-coding RNA of Herpailurus yagouaroundi (jaguarundi), 737 nucleotides long. RefSeq lists it as uncharacterized. The transcript has 2 exons. NCBI's taxonomy places the organism in Eukaryota, Metazoa, Chordata, Mammalia, Carnivora, Felidae. The record is from RefSeq and is a predicted model, not a curated record.
GCGGGGCGCAAAGCAUUGUGGGUCCUGGGCUUCCGUGGCCUCCGGCCUCUUCCCUUGGGCGGGGAUGGCGACGGUGCUGUGACUUUCCGGCCGCCGCGCCCCACCCCCCCGGCCCGGUGCCGCGUACACAGUGGGCGCUCAGUACCCGAGGACGACGGGACCGAUCGGCCGUGGUUCAGCCCUCUGGGGACCCAGAUCCGAAGCGGGACCCGGCGAGAGCGGGUCCGCUCCGAAAGCACCGCGCGCCCAGCAGGUGCCGGGCGGGCUGCAAGGGCGGGAGAUGCCAGCGCUGAGAAGACACGCAGCGGCGUCCUCGGCGGGUCUGCGUGUGUGCGGCCACCGGCAACACUGACUCCCUUCAGAGCUCGUGACUCGGUGCUGCCAACUCCCCUGAACUCCAGGCCCACAUUUGGACAUGAGACACAUCGUCGUGGGUAUGUACAGAACAGGGGUCCUGGCCUCCCCCGCCCCACCUCCCCUCACUGCCUGCCUUCUGCUUCAGUUAAGGCCACACCAUGCUUCCAGGCACAGAAGUCAGACCUUGAAGCCACCCUGCCUCCUCAUUCCCUACAUCUGGUCCUUGAGUGAAUUCUGUUGGCUCUCCCUUCAAAGUAUAUCCGGAACUGUGUUUGACUUGUUCCAGACUGCCACCCUGAUCCUGCUCUAGAUUUCAAAAGGCUGUAAGAAAUAGUAACUAACUGCAACGCAAAACGAAAAUACACGUAAAAAGACGUUUG